GGGCUUGACAUCCCACGAACCUGCCCGAAAGGGUAGGGUGCCCGCAAGGGAGCGCGGAGACAGGUGGUGCAUGGCUGUCGUCAGCUCGUGUCGUGAGAUGUUGGGUUAAGUCCCGCAACGAGCGCAACCCUCACCCCUUGUUGCCACCGGGUUAUGCCGAGCACUCUAGGGGAACUGCCAGCGUCAAGCUGGAGGAAGGCGGGGAUGACGUCAAGUCAUCAUGCCCCUUACGCCCUGGGCGACACACGUGCUACAAUGGCUGGUACAAAGGGAUGCAAGACCGCGAGGUGGAGCUAAUCCCAAAAAACCGGUCUAAGUUCAGAUUGCAGUCUGCAACUCGACUGCAUGAAGGAGGAAUCGCUAGUAAUCGCGCAUCAGCACGGCGCGGUGAAUACGUUCCCGGGCCUUGUACACACCGCCCGUCACACCACGAAAGCCGGCUGUACUCGAAGUCGCUGAG
RNAcentral lists this ribosomal RNA (460 nucleotides) under uncultured bacterium. RNAcentral's name for it is "bacterial SSU rRNA". It matches the Rfam family "Bacterial small subunit ribosomal RNA", at positions 977 to 1434 of the family's 1533-position model. The record is from RNAcentral.